RNAcentral lists this ribosomal RNA (1837 nucleotides) under Streptomyces sp. CC53. Its description in RNAcentral is "bacterial LSU rRNA". It matches the Rfam family "Bacterial large subunit ribosomal RNA", at positions 1218 to 2925 of the family's 2925-position model. The record is from RNAcentral. Lineage: Bacteria; Bacillati; Actinomycetota; Actinomycetes; Kitasatosporales; Streptomycetaceae.
GCUGUGAUGGGUAGGGGAGCGUCGUGUGCCGGGUGAAGCAGCACCGGAAGGUAGUUGUGGACGGUUCACGAGUGAGAAUGCAGGCAUGAGUAGCGAUACACACGUGGGAAACGUGUGCGCCGAUUGACUAAGGGUUCCUGGGUCAAGCUGAUCUGCCCAGGGUAAGUCGGGACCUAAGGCGAGGCCGACAGGCGUAGUCGAUGGACAACCGGUUGAUAUUCCGGUACCCGCUUUGAAGCGCCAACGCUGAAUCCAGCGAUGCUAAGCCCGUGAAGCCGCCGGUUGAGUCUUCGGACGAGGUCGGAGUGGUGGAGCCGGUGAACCGGACUGGUAGUAGGUGAGUGAUGGGGUGACGCAGGAAGGUAGUCCAGCCCGGGCGGUGGUUGUCCCGGGGUAAGGGUGUAGCCCGAGGGGUAGGUAAAUCCGUCCUUCACAUAGGGGUGAGACCUGAUGCCGAGCCGAUUGUGGCGAAGUGGAUGAUCCUAUGCUGUCGAGAAAAGCCUCUAGCGAGUUUCAUGGCGGCCCGUACCCUAAACCGACUCAGGUGGUCAGGUAGAGAAUACCGAGGCGUUCGGGUGAACUAUGGUUAAGGAACUCGGCAAAAUGCCCCCGUAACUUCGGGAGAAGGGGGGCCAUGUCUGGUGAACACUCUUGCAGUGGGAGCUGGGUGUGGCCGCAGAGACCAGCGAGAAGCGACUGUUUACUAAAAACACAGGUCCGUGCGAAGCCGUAAGGCGAUGUAUACGGACUGACGCCUGCCCGGUGCUGGAACGUUAAGGGGACCGGUUAGCUCCAUUUCGGUGGGGCGAAGCUGAGAACUUAAGCGCCAGUAAACGGCGGUGGUAACUAUAACCAUCCUAAGGUAGCGAAAUUCCUUGUCGGGUAAGUUCCGACCUGCACGAAUGGCGUAACGACUUCUCGACUGUCUCAACCAUAGGCCCGGUGAAAUUGCACUACGAGUAAAGAUGCUCGUUUCGCGCAGCAGGACGGAAAGACCCCGGGACCUUUACUACAGUUUGAUAUUGGUGUUCGGUUCGGCUUGUGUAGGAUAGGUGGGAGACUGUGAAGCUUGGACGCCAGUUCAGGUGGAGUCGUCCUUGAAAUACCACUCUGGUCGUGCUGGAUGUCUAACCUGGGUCCGUGAUCCGGAUCAGGGACAGUGUCUGAUGGGUAGUUUAACUGGGGCGGUUGCCUCCUAAAGGGUAACGGAGGCGCCCAAAGGUUCCCUCAGCCUGGUUGGCAAUCAGGUGUUGAGUGUAAGUGCACAAGGGAGCUUGACUGUGAGACCGACGGGUCGAGCAGGGACGAAAGUCGGGACUAGUGAUCCGGCGGUGGCUUGUGGAAGCGCCGUCGCUCAACGGAUAAAAGGUACCCCGGGGAUAACAGGCUGAUCUUCCCCAAGAGUCCAUAUCGACGGGAUGGUUUGGCACCUCGAUGUCGGCUCGUCGCAUCCUGGGGCUGGAGUCGGUCCCAAGGGUUGGGCUGUUCGCCCAUUAAAGCGGUACGCGAGCUGGGUUUAGAACGUCGUGAGACAGUUCGGUCCCUAUCCGCUGUGCGCGUAGGAAUAUUGAGAAGGGCUGUCCCUAGUACGAGAGGACCGGGACGGACGAACCUCUGGUGUGCCAGUUGUUCUGCCAAGGGCAUGGCUGGUUGGCUACGUUCGGGAGGGAUAACCGCUGAAAGCAUCUAAGCGGGAAGCCUGCUUCGAGAUGAGUAUUCCCACCCACUUGAUGGGGUAAGGCUCCCAGUAGACGACUGGGUUGAUAGGCCGGAUAUGGAAGCACUGUGAGGUGUGGAGUUGACCGGUACUAAUAGGCCGAGGGCUUGUCCUCAGUUG